Molecule: long non-coding RNA, 1263 nt
Organism: Bos taurus (domestic cattle)
Lineage: Eukaryota; Metazoa; Chordata; Mammalia; Artiodactyla; Bovidae
Source: Ensembl
CCCUCAUGAUCUGGUCCCUGCCUAUUUCUCCAAUUUCAUCUAUACUCACUUCCUUAAUCCCUACAUUUCAGCUACGCUGGUCUUCAAGUUAAUUAAGCAAACCAGGAUUAGUGGUUCCUGCACAUCAGCACUUCCUAUUCCUUCUCUUUGAAAAGCUCUUUCCAGGAUUUGACAUGGCUGCCUUCAGUCAUUAAACUCCCAGCUCAAUUGUCAUCUUCUCAUAAAGGAUUUUCCUCAUAAUUCUAGCCAAAGUCAUUUCCCUCUUUUGUCUAUAUCCUAUUAUAGUGUGGUAGCCACAUGUUCUGGGAAACAAACUCACUCAGAACAAUGCAGAUAGUGGAGUGCAGUUUAUUACACCAGUGGGCCCAAGGCAGAGUCUCCUCUUAGCCAAGGAUCCCGAGCAGUUUUUUGUGAAAACCUUAUAUAUCCUAAGUGUAUAAGUUUCCCUGAAACUAGUCUGAACAAAGGAAAAAGAAAGAUACAAUCAAAGUUAACCCGUGAUUCAUAUGCCUUAAGCCUAGGUAGUUAAUAGUGGACAAUUAUCAAUAGGCCUGUGGUCAUACCCCAAUAAGCAUAGUAGAAUAUAUGAUUCUAUUCGGUUACACAGAUAAUUAGGGUAUUCUUUUAGGCAACGGAGAGCCCUGAGGCUCUUCCUUCCAGGGGCCUGGUUUUCCAGUCGGUUUGUCGUUUCCAUAGAUACUGGGCAUACAGCUCAAAGUCCACAGUCCGGCCCUAGACAGAGUCCUGCUUUCAAGAUAGAGCCUGUUCUGUUUCCUCCUUCAAUAGUUUCUUCUUAACUGCUGUUAGAAUUUGAAAUUGGUGUAUAUGUUUAUUUUCUUUCUUUCUUUUUUUUUUUUUUGAGUGUGUUCCUUCUCCAGAAUAUAAAUUAUUUGAGUGCAGGUAGACUGCACUAACUUACCAACAUCUUAACGUGCAUCUUAAGACAACAUCCAAAACAGUGGCUCAUGGAAGUUCCCCGAAAAUGAAACUGAUAAACAGAAGACUAAAGUUUUAUCCGAAAUGAAACUGAUAAACAGAAGACUAAAGUUUUAUCAGAACUGUAGCACCAGCAGAAACUUACCUAACCUGUAUAACAGGCCUGUGGUUCAUUAAAAUCAAUGGGGCAAAAUUUAUGAAAAUUCAUCAAAGAUGAUCAAAGUAGAUGCAUUUUAUUGUAUUUAAAUAAUACCUCAAUAAAGUUGAUUUUUAAAAAUAAAUAAAUAAAAUCAACCGGGCAGAAUAUCCUAAUUCCUAGGUCUCAAG